Molecule: ribosomal RNA, 493 nt
Filed under: uncultured low G+C Gram-positive bacterium
Lineage: Bacteria; Bacillati; Bacillota
Description: bacterial SSU rRNA
Rfam family: Bacterial small subunit ribosomal RNA
Source: RNAcentral
GUCCGCACGAGCGCACCCUUGAUCUUAGUUGCCAGCAUUCAGUUGGGCACUCUAAGGUGACUGCCGGUGACAAACCGGAGGAAGGUGGGGAUGACGUCAAAUCAUCAUGCCCCUUAUGACCUGGGCUACACACGUGCUACAAUGGAUGGUACAAAGGGCAGCGAAGCCGCGAGGCACUAGCAAAUCCCAUAAAACCAUUCUCAGUUCGGAUUGUAGGCUGCAACUCGCCUACAUGAAGCCGGAAUCGCUAGUAAUCGCGGAUCAGCAUGCCGCGGUGAAUACGUUCCCGGGCCUUGUACACACCGCCCGUCACACCACGAGAGUUGGCAACACCCGAAGUCGGUGAGGUAACCGGGGGCAAAACUUAGUCUCUUAUAACUAUUAGGAAACUAAGUUUUGCCCUUGGAGCCAGCCGCCGAAGGUGGGGCCAAUGAUUGGGGUGAAGUCGUAACAAGGUAGCCGUAUCGGAAGGUGCGGCUGGAUCACCUCCUUU